UACAGAGGGUGCGAGCGUUAAUCGGAAUUACUGGGCGUAAAGGGCGCGUAGGCGGUCAGCACAAGUCAGUUGUGAAAUCUCCGGGCUUAACUCGGAAAGGUCAACUGAUACUGUGCGACUAGAGUGCGGAAGGGGCAACUGGAAUUCUCGGUGUAGCGGUGAAAUGCGUAGAUAUCGAGAGGAACACCUGCGGCGAAGGCGGGUUGCUGGGCCGACACUGACGCUGAUGCGCGAAAGCCAGGGGAGCGAACGGG
RNAcentral lists this ribosomal RNA (254 nucleotides) under uncultured bacterium. Its description in RNAcentral is "partial 16S ribosomal RNA". It matches the Rfam family "Bacterial small subunit ribosomal RNA", at positions 524 to 776 of the family's 1533-position model. The record is from RNAcentral.